CUAAAAGGAGUAACAUGAAAUGCAUCAAUAUAAAAUGAGAUGAAAAGAAAAUAGUAGUGCUCAUAAAAAUCCUUUCUGCAAAAUAAUGCAUAAAGACGACCAAUUCAUCAAUGUAAAACAAAUACAAACUGUUCUUUAUAUAGGUCAUAGUUCCAUCAGAGAGCAAUUUCAAACAAUCACAACAACUGAGCACAAGACUUUAUAACAUGGAUGACAAACCAGUCCUCAGAAGGAACCUAAAGAAAUGUGUGAUUCUCGACUCUCCAAGAGAUGUAUGACUAUUCAGUCUUACUGGCAGCUUCUCCAAGAUAGCACAAAAAAUAGCUUCAUGUCUACUGAAGACAGGUGAACUAAGCAGUGUCCAAGGAUUGGUGCUUAGGGAACACCUCAAGUCAUAAACAUAGAAAAUUUAGAAAAAAAGUUAGCAAAUAUAGGAAUCUAAAAAAACCAAUAAAAAUGUAAAAUAAAAAUUGUAACUUACCAUGAUCUUGCUAAGCUGUUGUUUAUCCUCUUUCUACACUCUUAACAUCAACAAUAGAAACAAAAACAAGUAGCAAUAGGAAUUUGCCACAGUCACUAUAGACAUGGAGCCUCCAAAUAUAAAACCCGAAUCCCCUUCGACAAGAAGAAAAAUACUUAUACUCUGACACCUGGGACAUGCACCUUUUAAACCUGCAAACUCCAAAAGAAGAGAUAUGGUUUCAUCAAAUCAAAAAUUUGAGAAACUAAAGCAAAACCAUUUUGUUUCUGCUCAAAUUUGUACAACUAGGCAUAUGUAAAUGUGACAGUAGCUCACAUUUUGGAAACCAAGUGGGAUAUAUUAGAAUAGAUACAAGCUGCUGUUGUUGCUAUGUAAUAAUUCCAUUAGGUAGUUCUGGGCUAUCGCAGUCACAGAGAAAAUACCACUUGGGAUAAAUUGAAAACCAGUUCUUGUGAAAGACAAGUUUCAUGCACUGAAUGGUUCCCAACUUUCAAAGGAAAUAAAAGAUCAUACAACCUUAUGAGCGGCUUCCCCAGGAGGGCAAGAAGAGGUUCUUAUUUAUUAAAGAUGCAAAUGAAAUCUUGAUUCAGAGGACCUCUGUAAAGCACUGAAGAAUCUAUCACAAGUCAUAAAAGGAAGAAAAUUUUACAAAAAUAGUCCUUAGAACACAAUAAUAUAUAGAAUCAACUAUAUAAAUGAAAGUCACGCACCACAAUUUUGCUAGAUUGUAUUUUAUCCUCUUUUAGUCGUACUAAAAAAUGGUAAUAAAGUGCCAAUGAGCCUUUGAUAUAGGAUGAACAUUCCAAUCAGUUAGCACAAUGAAAAGACCACAUGACCUCCUGUGAUACUUUGCACCCAUCCUUUUGACACCUGCAUCAUCAAUGUAAACAAUUUGGUACAUAAAACUGUAAGACUUAUUAUUACCGUUCAGAGGUAGCCGAGUUAAAUGGCAACAAAUUGCAAAUAUAUGUAUGGGAAAUAGAAAGUGAUAUUGAGGAGAGAAAGAGGAAGAAUUGCAUGUUGGGAAUGAGCAUCCAGUGGACAAGAAGAAAAUUCAAGAAAAUUAGUCAUCAAAAUAGAAAAAUAAAUAAACAAAAUAUAUAGAUGACGGUGACUCACUGUAGUCUUGCUGGGUUAUUCUUUGUCCCCUGUUGACACUCAAAAAAAAUAAAAAAAAGAGCAACAGGGGACAACUGGAACUAGCUGCAUUCACUCCAUACUUUGAAGUCUUUGAUAUAAUACCUAGAGUUCCAUCCUCUUUGAGAACCUGCAUCAUAAAUGUAAAAAUUUAAUAACCAGAUGACAAGACACUGGAUAGUAGCUAUGAUGACAUCUAAUAAGUUGAACUAAAAAAAUCAUGGCUGCACAGGGGAAUUGAUAAAGCCAUCUAAUUACCAUAGCAAUCGAACUUUAAUAAACUGCAUUUGCUUCUAGUAUAGCCUCCUCUGUAUGUCAGCCUGAACUCUAUUCUGGAAAUCAGAAAAUUAUACUUAAAAAAUGCAAUUGAAUAGUACAACUGAUGGAAUAAAAAUCAGAAGACAUUGCUAACCAGUGGCUAUUGCUAAAUAUUCCACCUGCCCUUGAAUGGCAUAAAUGGAUCCUCUCUUAUCCUUUUUAUCGUUGUAAGUAUCACAUAUCACCUCUUCAACUUCAAUGGUCACUGAGAACUAAAAAGAACAAAGGAAAAAGGAAAAGUGUGUACCCCAUGGAGAUUAUGGACAAGAUUUACUAAAUAGAAUUGGAGAGGCAGAGGCAGUGAUGCAUACCUAGAAUUGUGUCAAAUUGAAGAGAAAACCAAGCUACAAGCCAUUUCAAAAGCCACUUCCUAGGCAAAUUUUUAACAAAAAGUCUAGUAAGAAACGUACAAGUAAUCAAUUGGGGAAAUUGCUAUAAUGUAUAUGAGAGAUUGAACGCGGUAUUGAGGAGUGAAAGAUAAAGAACAGGCGUACCUUGUUUAAUGUAAAGAUGGGAGAGGGUUGAAUGGUGUUUGCUUCUAUGUUCUGCAAUCCCUCAACUUAUUAUUGCUCAAAGACGUUUUUAUCAUCUAUUUCCACAUAGGGAAUGUGGGCGAUGUUGGGCCAAUCUUGCCCUUUCCCUUUCGAGCACCUUUGUUUUAGGAGCGGGCAGUCUGUGAUAUAUAGUCGUGAAAGCGUGUCAGGCAGCCCUUCCCUUGGGCAAAACGACUGAAGCUUAGGGCAACGUUGGAUCCAUAGAUCUUCAAGUGAGGUGAGGGUUUGGAGAGCCAGGGAGGAUAGAGAUUUCAGAUUCUGGAAAUCUUGAAUGGAAAGAAAGGUGAGGGUUGUAGGAAGAAUCGGUGGUCUUUGACCAUCUGAAAAGGAGGCAACUCGUGGAAAUAUGCCACCAAUGGUGAGUUCUUUAAGAGAGGUAAGUGUGGCAAGGCCCCAUCGGGAUAGGGGCAUCUUGAUAUUCUCACAACGGUAGAUACCAAGUGAUGUAAGAGCAGUGAGGUUUUGCAGUUGAUGAGGUAGCAGCUCCACAUUCUCACAAUUAUUAAUCUCCAGUUCUCUGAGUUUGUAGAGGCAAUCUGGUACAAUUUUGAGACAGGGAUACGACCGGAUACUCAAAUAUUCAAGUGAACUAUUAUUGGAGUGAAACGUCUCCUUUGAAAUCGACUCCAGUUGUGCACAAUCCCAAAUCUCAAGUUUCUUAAGGGUGGAGGGAAACUUGCCUGUGGGGAAGAAUGUGAGAGAUGGACAUUUCCAAAUGUCCAAGACAUGAAGACCACCACUGGUGGCGGUGGUGGUGUUGGAAUCAUGGUGCAUCAUUCCCCCCGGUAGAGACUCUAGCUUUUCACACCUCCAUAUCUUGAGUUCCUUGAGCGUGGUGGGUAACUCACCUUCUGGAAAACCAAUGAGAGAUGGACACGUAUGUAUGUGCAAGUAUUCAAGGAGACACACGUCGCUACCGUUAUUACUACCGUCUUUCAUCACCAUCAUCCAAUCAGGUAGACAUCGUAGACCUUCACAACUAUGAAUAACAAGACGUCUAAGCAUGGGCGGGAACCCCAACUCUGGAAAUGACACCAGCUUUGGACAAUCAUAGAUUUCCAACUCUCCAAGACAUGUUAGCCUGUACAGUCCAUUGGGAAGCUUCUCUAGGUUAUUACACCACCUAAUUUUCAAAGAUUGAAGCUUGCUAGGCAGCUCGUGCUUUUCCUUUUCUCCCAAGGAUACAAGCUCGGGACAACUGCUAGUUUGCAACUGCUGAAUACCAUCAAAUCCAUUUUCCCACAAACACGUCAAUUUAUCACAUCUAUCAAUGUCUAAAACUUGAAGCCCCGACAACAAUUGCAUACAACCUUCAUGUAAUCUGGUGAGCCCUACCAUUCUAUCAAUUCCUAACUCGGUGAGUGAAGGCAAUUCCAAUCCACUCCUUAGUACCGCCUCAUUGCAAUCUUGUACUCUUAAUUUAGAAAGAGAUGGAAGCCUUUCAAGUGGAGACACCAACUGUGGGCAUGUCCCAAUGGAGAAAUGUACAAGGGACGGUAGGUUAGUGGGUAGUUUCUUGAUUAAUUUGGGGCAAUUUAUGAUUUCAAGGUGAAGGAGACAAGGAUAUGGCUCUGAUAAAGAUGGACUCUCCCAAUCUUCCCAUUGUGACAUAGCCGAAAAAGAUAGAGACUCUAAGGACGGGAAAGGCUUAUUGGGAAGACAAGUCUCUCCAUAAAACUCUCUACCCACAAUUUUUACUUCUUUUAACCCUUCAAUCCUUACGUGUUUGAGCAUGGGUAACCACCCCAAACACGGUAAAGAUGUGCAAUUUCUGCAAUUCACCAGAUUUACAUCCACCAUCUUCGAGAAUGAAACAUCUCCUAUCCAAGGGGGAAAUUCUGGACCACCAUAAUACUCAAUUUUUAGUUUGUUCAAAUUGAAGUGUGGCUGUAAAGAGUCAAGUACAUCUUUUUGAUUCCUUGCAUUGUGUGAAUCAUUCAACCCAGCACUCCACUCUAUCGUCAAUUCUUCAAGCUUCUGCUUCUUGUUUAGACUAGCAUCCCUUGCAUCUUGAACAUUUGCUACAUUUUCCAACUUUGAAAUGCAAAGUCCCCCUUGAAGUUGGGGCAUAUUCCUUAACUCCUUUACAUUCAAACCAUUGUCUUUACCCACAAUAAAAUUAGACAAUACUUGUAAGCCUUUUAAUUUGCAAAUUCGUGGAGGCAUUUCUUCUAGAUUUGUAUUGGUCACAUCAAGGUGUCGAAGAUUAUUUAGGUUUCCAAUGCUCAAAGGCAACCUAAUAAGCUUCCGACAAUUUGAUAAUAUUAAUGUCUCUAAGUUAUGGAGGUUACCCAGUGAAUCAGGUAAUCGUUUGACUUUUGUUCUGGAUAAAUUAAGAUACCUAAGGUGUUUCAAAUCACCAACUGAACUUGGUAUCUCACUUAUCCGAUAACCACUCAAUAAAAGCACCCUUAGGCGUCGUAGCUUGGGCAUCAAUCCCUCAAGUACCUUGUUGCUUAACCAAUUAUAAUCCCAUAAUGGAUCAAUUGGUAAUGCAAUAAACGUACGCAAAUUCUCCAUCCCAUAAAAGGCUUCAAACUUUUUGAAGAUAUCGUAUCGGUCACGAAUGAAUGAUGAAUGACGAGCCUUUUUAGAAAUAGUCUGCUGCUGAUUACCUUCCAAAUUCUUUUCCAGAGAAAAACAUAUUUCUCCACCAACAAAUUUUGCUAAAUCGUUAACGAGAUCAUGCAUUACGAAUUGGGAUUUAUUGCUACUUGAUGGUUGAAAAAAUGAUCGAGACAACAAUUCCUGGAAGUAGUUAGCGCCUAAAUCUUCAAUUUCGAUUUGUUGCCUAUGACAUUCUAAGUGUUGAAUUAGACUCUCUGCCAUCCAUAAGCGAAUCAGUUCUCUCUUAUCAAAUUCAUAGUCUUUCGGAAAUAUUGCACAAUAACUGAAACAUCUCUUCAGUGGAGAGGGGAGGUGAUUAUAACUUAAUCUUAAUGCAGGAAGAAUACCGCAUUUAUCACUCGGUAAAUCCCAUAUUUUGCUAGUCAAAAUAACAUUCCACUCAUGUUCUCUCUGUUCAUGGCGUAGAAGACUACCGAGUGCUGUUGCUGCCAAAGGCAAGCCUCCACACUUUUUUACAAUUUCCUUGCCGAUCAAUGCCAAAUUGGAAUGCUCAUCAAUGUUGCUAUUUCCAAAUGCAUGUUUCUUGAACACCGACCAACACUCAUUAUCUGAUAAAUUUUGUAGCUCGUGCAAGUUCUUAUCUCCUUCCAUUAUAUUUGCGACCUUCUUACUCCGUGUCGUGACUAUGAUUUUGCUGCCUCGUGAACCCGACAAAAAGGGAGACUGUAAGCAACGCCAAUCAUUAUAGUUGUCAUUCCACAUAUCAUCGAGAACCAGAAGAAAUUUUUUUCCCUUCAAUUCCUCCCCCAAUUUAUCUUGAAUUUGAUGGAAGUCUAGUGAAUCAGUAUUGCUCUGAGAAGUACUGACCGAGUUGAGGAUUGUCUUGGUUAUUCUCACUGCAUCGAACUGAUCUGAUACACAAACCCAGGCCUUUAGAUCAAAAUGCUUGGCUGUCUCAGGAUGAUCGUACACCAACCUUGCUAGUGUGGUCUUGCCCAUACCACCCAUGGCCACGAUGGAAACUACAGAAACAUUGGUUUCAAUGGGCUCAUCCCUAAGCAGCAUAUCCAUUAUAAUCUGUUUAUCAGCAUCCCUGCCAUAAACCCAAGGUUCGUAUACCAGAGAUGUAGUGAGUGGCCUUUCCCAAGUAGACUGGGUUAUAGCAGCCACCUUGUCCAAACCAAGCCCAGCCUUUUGGGCAUAUAUAGCUUCUAAUCGGGUGGUAAUGUCCUUUAUCUCGCACCCCAUCUUAACAUUACGCAUACAACCAAUAGGAGUGAAAGUAGUACAACAAGUAGGGAUAAACUUGCGUACCUUGCUUGUGCUGCCUUCACCAUCAGCUUCCGCCAUCACCUUUCUUCUUAAAGCUUCGUAGGCAAACUCGUCCAAGAUGUCCUCCAUGUCAUAAACCAAAUCCCUCAGAUCGCCCAGCCACGUUUUCACCGACUGCUUCGUGAUCUGCUUCUCCUCCGCGUCAUUCAGCACUUCAUCAAUCUCCAAUAAUUUUUUCUCCCAUAUUUCGAGCUCGGCGCGGAUUUUCUCUUGGCGUGCAAACUUGAGAUCAGGGGAGCGCAGUUGGUUAAACAAAGCUUGAAGGGAGUAAGAAAGAACAACCUCUGCAACAACUUCCAUGGUUCGUUGGUAGGGAAAGAGAGAGGUAGGAUACCAAGUGGAAACAAGAGAAUAAAAAACAAUUGGUUUGCUCUAUCAAGGCUUCCCCAAUUAUCAAAGACAGUGGACUCUGCUCCUUCAGAGUGGUGGGGCUCACACGUAAAGAAGAAGAAACUAAGGGAAAAGAAGGAAUCCAAGGCAACUGGUGCUAAGUGGAGCCAUUGGAGAGAUAAUUAUUCAAGUCUUGGACCACUCUCCAAUUUCCCACUACACUGGUUUUAGGGGUGGGUGACAUACUCACAUGAAGUGACAGAAAGCAGGGCCCUCUAAUUCAAAGUUUAUUUUACUAUUAAAUAAAUAAAUAAAAAAGUCAUUUUCUUAAAACCCUUCUACAAUUUUCUGACAAAGCAAAUGACUUCUGUAAGCAGGAUACCAUUCUUGUGAAUGGGAAAAGGAAGAAGGUUGAAGGAAGAAGAGUAAACAAGUUUUCCCUUUAUUUUAUAUAGAUUGGUGAUUAGGCUGAAGUAGAGAUACCUUGCUACCUCGCUGCAUCUUCAAACGAUAAUGUUGAUUAAAGAUGAAUUGAAAGCCAUGCUUUGCCUGCGAAGUUUGAUUAGAGAGGAAUCUCUAAAUCAAAUUUUGUGAAACAAUUGGUUUGCUUGCUGUAUCAAGGCUUAGCCAAUUAUCAAAGACUGAAGGUAAGAGAUAAGGAGUUGAAGGCAACAGCUGGCAAGCUGGCAAGUGGAUCCAUUGGACAUGAUUUGAUUAUUCAAGUCUUGGACCACCCUGCAAUUUUCCACACCGCACUGGGUGGUGGGUCAGAGAGUUAAGGAUAACGUCAGAAAACCAAACAUGAAGCGACGGAAAGCAGGGCCCCUGUACGAAAAUAUUACUCUGCAACAAUCAAAAUAAUCAAAGAAUCAUGCAUUGAAAAAUUGCAAGCUAAUGUUGUUAAAUUUUAAAAAAUAUGAAUUCAGAAAUUAUUUGUAAAUAUUUAGAAAUUGCUAAUGUUGGCUUUAGUUCAAUUUCACAAAAAUAGAAUCAUGCAUUGAAAAAUUGAUUUGAAGUUGAAGUUUUACAAUUUCCUUAUUUAUUUUCUAGGAGUUCAUAUAGGAAUAAGUUACAAAUACAUGGGAGGAACUUACAAAGAUGUAAACAAGUAAUUAGGUUAAGGACUCCACUUCCAAGCAGGCCAUGUGCUUUUAAGGAUAGAAAAAAAAUUGUUUAACACAUUAAUAAGAACAAAUAAUUUAAUGUUUAAGAAUAUUAAAAUAUGAAUAAAAAUAAACAAUUUAAUCUUAGCCAGAUUGUGUUCUAUUUAAAAUUCAAUAAAAAUCUAUUUAAAUUUAAGAUAGAGAAACAAACUAGAUAUAAUUUUUUCACUUCUUAUAUUUUAAAAUAUUUUUUAAUUAAGCAUUCUUAAUAAUAUUUUUAUUUCUUAUAAAAAAAGUUAUAAUUAUUUCAUGGAUGAUUAUUAACUUUUUUUUUUAAGAGAAAGAUAUAUCGUUGAAAUAGUUUUUAAGAAAAGACAAUGAAAUAGAAUCUGAAAGUUGAAUUAUUGAAAAUAUUGUAACCUCUAAAGAUAAAAUGAAAAUACUAAAACAUUGAGUGAUGAAAUUUAGGUUAUUGAAUAAAAAUAUAAAUAAAUUAGAUCAAAAUAUAAAAAUACAAAUAAUCGAGACAUAUGUGAUGCGUGAGACAUGCUAAAUAAAAAAUUUUGCUCCCACAAUUUCUAUAAUAUUAAAAGAAAGUCAAUUUUUUAAUAAUCUCUUUCCAUCUUUUGGUACACGCAAUAGAAUAAAAUAUAACCAUAAUUCUAUACAUUUCUUUCACGGGAAAAAAAGAAGGAAAAAACUUGGGGUGCUGGCACAUUGGGUGUCCACAAGUGGACCUUGUAUUCAAUUAUUGGUAAGAGAUGGCCCGGAUAGGUGGCAAUUAUUGGGGCUCUUUUACUUAAUAGAAUAGAUUUAUAAAAUAAUUUUAAAAAUGACUUCAAAAAGUAUAUUGAAGUCUAUGAUAAUUGUUAAAUGUUGUCGAUUUGAUUUUACUUCUAAUAAGAAAUCUUUUUUAUUUUAGUAUGGAAACUUUUUAAAACAGUGAUUUACUUCCAUUGAUUUAAUGAUAUUAUUAAAUUAAAUUUAAAAAGAUUUGUUAAAAGUAAGUUUUUUUAUUAAGGUAGAGUUGGAUUCGAAGUUUUAAAAUUAAGUUAAAAUAUCUUAAUUAAUUUUUGACAAUUUUGAGGUUUUAUUUUAAAAAAAUUUCUUAAUUAAUUUAUAGAAAAUUAAUAUUUUACUUUUUAAACAAAAAUUAUUUUGUUAAUUAAUUUUUGAAAAUUUGAUUUUUUUUUUUUAAGAAAUUCAAUUUCAAACCAUCUAGGCUCUUAGGCCUAUAUAUAUUAUCUAAAUGUGUUUUUGGGUUGGAUGCUUUAAUAAAAUUAACCUCAACUUGCUCUAUCAUUCAUAAACUCUCAACAAAGAAUUCACUAAUCAAAUCCCAUAGUUUUUUAUUUCCAUAAUUAAUAUGAUGAUUUUCCACAUAAAAUUGAUUGUCUUGUAUGUAAUUGUGAUUUUAUUAUUUAUAUGGAUAUGUGAAAUUGACAAUAUUGCCCCUAGCCUCAAGCAUAGGGUGUUACAAACAUCCUUAUUUAUCGACUCUCAACAUGAUUAUACUUUUCAUAGUAACUUAGCAUGAAAAUCUUUCAAUUGUCAUAUUCUAACAUUAUCUAUAAGUUUCUUGAGUAUUGAAAUUGACAAUGCUUUUGUGAAUAAGUUUGUUAAAUUAUCAUUUGAUACUUUCUGAAUACUAAUUUUAUUACUCUUGUGGAGUUUAUGAAUAUAAAAGAACUUGAAUGAUAUAUGGUUACUUUAGUUUGAGUUUUCCUCUUUUUAUCAUUAUGGCCUAUAUGAUUCUUAUUGAUCUAAAAAUUAAAUUUAAAAAAUUAGGCAAGAGAUUAACCUACUUACAAUUUAUUAAGCCUGAGUCACUAAAAUUAGUCAAUUAAAUUAGUUUGUUAUCUUUUUCUUUUUAUAAUAAUAGUUGGCAAGGUUCUUAUCUAUAUCAAGAUUAACUUAACUAUUAGGUAAGGCUUAAGAGAACUUACUUGCAAUUAUUAAAUUUGAGUUAAUAAAAUUAAUCAAUAGAAUUAACUCGUCGUCUUUUUGUUUUUAUAAUUGUGGCCGACUUAGUUCUUAUCAAUAUGAAGAUUAAAUUAAAAGAUUAGGUAACGGCACCCACUUGCAAUUUAUUAAACUCGAUUAAGCAAAAGUAGCUUCACUUAUUUCUCUUUUUAUGAUUAUGGUCAGCAAGGUUCUCAUCAACAUCAAGAUUAAUUUAAAAGAUUAUGUAAGGGAACCUAUUUGCAACUUGUUAAAUUUGACUCAUUCAAAAGGUUAGUCAAGCAAAUACACUUGCAAUAAUUUACAAUCAAAAUCCACUUUAAAAUAAUAAAUAUAAGCUAUCUUUUUUUGGUUGCAUUGAACUUAUUGAUAAUUAGAUUUAAACAUAAUUAAUAUAAUUAUUUAAGUAUUAAUUAAGUUUUCAAAACUAAUUAAAAUUUAAACAUCACUAAUUAAAUGAAAUAGUAUAAAAUUUAAUUAAUUAUUAUAUAUAUAAAAUAAACUUUAAUUAUCUAAUUAAAAUUAUUAAAUACUUAAGUAUUACCAUGCCUAAGAAUUAAAAGAACUUUUCAUUUUUUCAAGGCAUAAAAAAAUAACAAAGGAAAAAUCUUGAUUCAAAUAAAUAAAUAAUUCCAUGGAAAAUAUAGAAAUGAAAAUAAUAUUUAUAUUGUGUAAUACUAUAUUGCAGUAGUCUACAAUUUAUCAGUCUUAUUUGGAUUGAUUUUUAAGAAGUCAAAAGUUCUUUUAUAAGCUCAAGAAGGACUUCUAUGUCUCUUUAAUUAAUUUUAUUUGAAUGGCUAAUGGUUUAAAAAGAAGAUAUGAAAACUACAUAUAUUUUUUUUUAUACUUUUUAUAAAGGUGCAUAGCACCUCAUGCUAAUAAUUUUGUAUAACAAAAUAAAUAUUUCAAAGGCACCUCCAAUUACCUAGAAAAUGAAUUUUCAAUUUAUCAAAUACUUAAUUUUUGUAACAAAGAUGUUUUUGAGCAUUAUCGAACAUUUCUAACUUUUCUAAAAUCAUGACCAAAUGACUCAUAAUCUUUUCGAAUACUAAAACAUUCAUCAAAUUAUUUUGUUAUGAGCUUUUUAUUUUAAUUAAAAGGUUAAAAUAAACACUAACUUUAUUAAUUUUAUGUUCCAAAAUAAGUUUCUUUGAAAGCUUGUAAUGUAAAUUGAUUAAUGAAUUUCAGUUAUGAAUGAUCUCGGGGAGUUUGAAUUAGAAAUUUUGAGAUAACACUUUUUUUUAAUUGUUUAUGAUUAAAUAUGUAUCAAAUAAACGUACAAAACUGAAAAGACUUUAGAGGGUGAUGAUAAAUCAAUUUAAUGACUUAAUUUAAGUUAUUAAAUAUAUUAAGCAUGUUUGAUAAAAUAAUAAAGUUAAAAAUGAUUAUGAGAAAUCAUCUUAACAAUUAAGACUCCAUGACUUAAAUACAAUUAAUUUAACUUAAAGUCAUCUUACCCCGAUAAAUAUCAAGUUUUACCAAAAUUGUUGUUAAUGAUCUCAAUAAUUUUUUAUUUUCUUUCUAAAUAAAAUUAUUUUCAUUUAUUUAUUAAUGGAUUAUGGAGAAUAACCAUCCUCUCCCCAUCCUCUUUUUAAAUUGCAUACCAAAAGUUAGAUAGAGAUUCAAAAAGGAUCCAUAAAUGCAAGUGAUGGAAGGAGCAAUUAAUUUGUUUUAUUAUUCACCAUUUUUCAAAUUCCAUUUUCUGUGAAUACCCCUCCUACCUAAAUGACUUUUAAACAAAAACUUUGAUCAUGUUUUCUAUGCUUGUUUUUAAAAAUUAUUUUUAGUGUUUUAUAGAAAUAAAGGUGUUUGACAAAUUAUUUUUUAAACCAGUUUUUAAAAAUAAAAAAUAAAAAUUUUGUUUGAAUAAAUUAUUUAAUUUUUUUUUUAUUUUGUAAAAAUAUUAUAAAUUCAAUUUAUAUAACGUGAAUUAAACAAAAAUCUUUUUAUUACGUUUCCUUCCUUAGGUUAUAUUUGGUUUUCAAAAUUUUGAAGGAAAGAACAUAAAUAAAAAAUAAACUUUGCUGUAGUAAAUUUUCUCUUCCUUUUAAUUAAAAAAAAUAUUAAGAAAUCAAAAUCUUAGCUGGAUCAUUGGAGUCAGCGUGGGACUUCCAGGCUGGCCCGUGUGCAUGCCAUUAUUUAUUUAUUUUUGUAAUUUCAAAGCAUAUUAUUUUUAUUUUCAAUAUUUUAAGACUGGCGCAUUUUUCAAGCUUAAGAUUCUCUUUAUAAUUAUGGACCUAUGGUUGUUGGUUGUAUCAAGAUUAAUUUAAAUGUUAGAUAAGACUUAACACAAUUUACUAGCAAUUUAUUAAAUUUGAUUUGAUAAAAUUAGACAAUAGAAUUAGCCUGUCAUCUUUUUCAUUUUAUAAUUAUGGCCGGCUUGGUUCUUAUAAAUAUGAAGAUUAAAUUAAAAGAUUAGGUAAUGACACCCACUUACAAUUCAUUAAACUCGAUUUAGUAAAACUAGCUUAUAAAAUUAGCUUGACUUUUUUGUUUUUUAUAAUUAUGGUCGACAAGCUUUUUCUCAAUUUGGGAUGACAAUAAGACGAUUUUUUUUUUACCUAUCUCUAAUAAGACAAAUUUGAAAUUUAAAUAAAUCAAUUAGGAGUGGAUUUGAGAAUUUUUUUUAAAAAAACCUAAGGCAAGUUUGGGAUGAGUUUGAGUAUUACCUAGUCCUGCCAACCCUACCUUGAUUAUACAUAAAAUUAAUUUAAUUUAACUUUUAUUUUCCUAUUUUUAAUAAAAUAAGUUAUAAAAAAUUAUAAUAUUUUAAUCAUUUAUAAAAUAUGUUUAUUUUGAUAUAAUUUAAUUUUUUUAAAAAAAUUAUUAUUAUCAUUUUUUUUUAAGUUAAAGCCAAGGUAUAGAAAAUUUGUAUACCCAUCCUGCCCUACCUCAUCCCAUUUAAUUUUUUUAAUAGGACGACUGACGAGUAUGAAAAUUAUUUUGAAUAAAUGAAAUAGGAGUGGAAUGAGUGCAACCCAUCCCCAACUUGCACUGUUGUCUUCUCCAACGUCAAGAUUAAUUUAAUAAAAGAUUAGGUAAGGGAAUCUAGUUUCAACUUAUUAAAUUCAAUUAAUUUAAAAGGUUAGUCAAGCAAAUCCACUUGCAAAAAUUUAAAAUCGAAAUCCACUUCAAAAUAAUAAUGAUGAGCCAUUUUUUUUCUUCUUGCAUUGAAUUUAUUGCUAAUUGGACUUAAAUAUAAAUAAAACUAAUUAAAAUUUAAAUACCACUCAAUAAAUAAUAUAAUAAAAUAUAAUUAUCUAAUUAAAAUUAAUAAAUACUUAAAUUAGGUUGGAGUUAUUUGGCCUCACCCAAAGUUCAAUUCGAGGUGGAUUUUUUAAUCUACGCAUAAUUUAAAUUGUAAAAGAGGCCAUCCAAGUCUUUUCAAAUUCAUUUAAAUUGUAAAAGAGGUCAUCCAAGUCUUUUCAAAUUCUUAUUGAGUUUGAAUUUCGUUAUGUUGAAACUUCCCAAAUUUGAUUACUAAUUUAAUCCAUGAUAAAUUAAAGUGAUGGUUUAAAAGAAUGAAAUAAAAUUUGAACAUUUGUCGAGAGAUGGACCGUCUUUAGUAUUAGUAAUUGGCUUCUGAUAGAUUUGCAAGGAUGUAGCACAACUACAAGGCUUGGUGCGAUGGGGAGUGUCUGGUGGUCAAGAGUGCAUACAUGAUCCCAACUUACUGUUUAAACUAGGCAAAAAAGUUGUCAUAGGAUGAUAUCUAACUGUAAAUUUACCAACAACAAAUAAUUGAUUUCGAAAUUAGGACUCCCAAGGGUGUUCUCGUUGAGUGGUUAUGCAAUAAAUGAGACACCAAAUUCAUUCUAUGGUUUAAAACAUUUGAUUCAAGAGAUGAUCAUUUAUUAUAAUCUUCAAAUGUUGAUACAAUCAAGUUAUAAACAUUUUACCAAGAUACCUAUUAACUUCGGGAAUCUAAUUAACCUUUGAUAUCUUGAUAUUAUUGUUACAAGUCUAUUAGAAGAAAUGUCUUUAGAAAUUGACAAACUAAAAGAUUUGUAAAUACCGUCUAAUAUCAAUCCCGGAUUGGAUGGGGAGAAAGGUUCAUGAUAUAUGUAGUGAGAUUCUCUUAAUUAUUAUGUUGAUGAAUUUUGAGCCGAGUGUUUUGCCCUAGAGACACCAUCUGAAUGGGCCCUUUUGUCCCAAAGACAACAUCUACAUGGAAAGGAGCAGUCGUUAAUUCAAGGAAAAAUCUUUCCACCUGAAUCUAAACUUUUCCAGAUGCUCGCUCUACAGCAGGUUUGGAUAGCCCAACUGAUUGAGUAGCCUAUCCCAAGAAGUCAAAAUAUGAAGUUUUGUUGAUUUGAAUCCAUUAUUUGGUCCUAAGUCGCUGAAUCUUUCUGAAUUUUCCACAGUAAUCAUUCCAAAUAUCCCAAAAUUUUAGUUCAUUUGGCUGAACUGCUAGGGAGUGAUAAUGACAAAAAACUUUAAUUUGAUUUAGGAGGGUCACCUGUAUCUCAAUUCAUAGAUUCUAAAGAAUGGAUUACUUAACAAGAAGCAAACCCAUCAGAAAUGCUUAACCCUCGAAUCUUACUACGAGAAAAUGGAACAUAAACAGCAAUGACCAAACGCUCAUUUUCAGAUAAUCAACGAAGCUAAAACCGAAGAAAAAUCAAACCAAUUCUUGAAAAAACAAAGCAAUAAGAGCUCUUCAAACUAUCAAAUUUCUAUAAACGCAGUAAAAAUAAAUAAAAAAAAUCCACAACUGCAACUAACUAGCUGAAAAGAAUAGUCCUUGAAAUUACCCUUUCAAUGGAUGACUCAGAGGAACGAACAAACCGGACAACUGGGCUGGCCUUGGGGUCAGGGAGGGCAUAGUUGAAGGUGGAAUUGAGGGGUCUAGAGGACUCAACCGGGGGCUUUGAUGGUGGGUUCGAAGACAAGAUGGUUUCAGUAGGAGGAGAUGGUGGCGGCGGCGGCGGUGAUGAUUCAUGAGAUGAUGAGCUCACGGAAGCGAGACAAGGCGAAAAUCGCCUGUGAUUUGUGGGAGGACGAAGACGAGACAGGGAGAGCGACAGUGGAGUGUAGGACAUUGCAGCGAAGAGGGCCAUCGCAGAGGGAACUGAGAGAGGAAAGGACAAAACAAAAUGAAGAAAGCGUGGUGUGAGCCUGUGAGGAGUCUGAGGACUGACAUAGUGACAUAUGAGGUCAAUGUUUUGUGUGUGUGGAGCCCACGGUUGCUCAUCACGCGGGUAAAUUAACGGUCUGGUUUAAUCGCAUAGCUCACAAUUCUGAGUCCGAAAAUCAUUUUAAAUACUUUCUUAUUUAUUAUGCUCGUAUAUAAAAAACAAAAUAUAUCAAUUAUAAAUUUCACAAAUUAAUUUUUUUAACCGUUGAUUUGGUUAAUAAAUAUAUAUAAUAAAAUUAUACUCUUUCUCGUAAUUAUUUCCAUAUAUAUAUAUAUAUUUCUUGGGUCAGAUUUUCUUAAGAUUAAUUUUGAUGAUUAUGGAGCAAAAAAUUAAAUUUUAGGAGGAUUUAUUCUCAGUAGAAAGGAUUACUUGGAGGAUAAUGUUGAAGGUCUAGGAGCCGAAUAAUCUAAGUAUGAGGAGUUUAAGGUUAUGUUUAGUUCCUUAAAGUUAUUAAGGAAAAAAUAAAUAAAUAUUAAGUAAAUAAAAAAUAUUAAAAAAAAUAAAUUUCUUGUAUUUAAUUUUAUAAUAAAAAAAUCAAACAUAAUUAAAAUGGUAAAAAAUUUAUAUAUUUUUAAAUUGUUAAUCCUUAUAUAAUAAAUGAAAAUAAUUAAAAAAAAUUAUUUUAUUUUAUUUUAUUUACUUUCCAUCACUUUUUUCUUUGAAAUAGUGAAUGAAAAAAUAAAAUUAAAGUUAAUAAAUUAAAUUAAUUUAAUUUGUUAUUUCAAACUUAUUUUAAAUUUUUAUAUAAAGAUAAAAUAAUUUAAAAAUGUAUAGAUUUUUAACCAAUUUUAAUUAUAUUUGAUUUUUUUUUAUUUUUCAUAUUAUAACAUAAUAUGAAAAAAUCACUUUCCUCGUUAUUUUUUUCUUUAUUACUUUUUGAAACAAAUAUAACCUAAGAGUAUGUUUGGUUUCUGAAAAUUUAAGAGAAAAUGUUAAGGAAAGAUAAAACAAAAGAAAAUAAAAAAAUAAAUUCAAAGUCAAUAAUUAUUUUAUAUAUUUUUUAAAAUUCAUUUAACUUAUUUUCCUCUAUUAUGUAAAGAUUAAAUAAAUUUAAAAUACAUCAACUUUUAACUAAUUUAAGUAAUACUUGAUUUUCUUUCGUAUUUUCUAUAUUAAAAUUAAAUAGAAUAAAAUCAUUUUUCUCAACAUUUUUUUUGCCUUAGCAUUUUCCUAAAAUCAAAUAAAACAUAAAAGUUUUGAAUUGAAAGCGUAUGUCAUUGUAUAAUUUUAUUGAUUGGUUGGAUCCUUACUAGGGAAUGAAGUCGUUUUUUGUUUUUUGUAUAUAUUUUGUGUGCUUUUUCUAUGCUAUUGAUAUGCGCUUGGAGAUUUUAAUAAUAUAUAUAUAUAUAUAUAUAUAUAUAUAUAUAUAUAUAUAUAUAUAUAUAUAUAUAUAUAUUUAUAUAUUUUUCUUAACUUCUUAUUUUUAUUUUUAAUGUGAAAGCACUUUUAGAUUUAGCAUGCCCAUAUUAUUAGUUGUAAACAAAUGAUAGAAUUGAAAAGAAUGGUUUGGGCUUUGUUCUCAGAAGAAACAAUGAUGGUAUUAUAAGUAGAGAAAAGGCUACAAAUUAUAGAUGGGAGAUCCUCUCAAUUAGAAGAUGUUAUGAGAGGAAGGUAAAAGAAAGAAUGACAAUAACAAAAAAUAGACACCAACCCAAGGCCCACAGCACAAAUAUCCAAGUCCACCACUGAAACACAAAACAAGGGUGAAGGUGAAGACAAGAUGGAAGGCAUUUGGCUUCAAGGGGAGAUAUGAUCUAUUGGCGAACCUAUCAGCUUCCUGAUCGGUUGCUCUAGACUUUCAACAGAAGGAGCAUCUCAUGUCUCUAGACAGCUUCUCUAUCCUUUUCAACCAAUGGUUAUGUCUCCAUAAACAACCCUUCUUUUAUUUGUGGCAGGUCGAUUUUACAUCUCAAACUUGCAUGGCAUAUUGCUGUUGAAUUGAAACCCACUAAAUUUAUUUUGGCAUUAUGGUCAUCCCCCUCUUAUGUGCUAACUUAUUUCAUUUUCUGCCAGGUUUAGCCCUGAAGCUCUAAACUGGCUGUUCAUCAAGGGAUUGGUUGGCUGGUUUUUGCAAGUCUCACUGCUGAAAGUAUCAUUGCUUUCAUUGGAUAGUGGGGAGGCACCUUUUCUGGACAUUGUGGCAUAGCAGCGUACACUUUCACAGGGAUGUGCUUGGCUGUCCUUGGGAGGGAUCAUGUGGAGCAUCUCAUAUUAUUUCUUGAUGCCCUGGGCAUGCCUAUGCAUGGGAAUAUUCUUGGUAAAGACCAUGAAGAGAAUCCUCUUUGCAGAGGUGAGGAGUUAUGUUUCCAGCAAGCAUCACUAUCUCUUGCUCCUUAUUGCUUUGGCUCAGUUCCCACUUUUCAUAUGGCUUGGCAACAUUAGCCUUCAUUAGCUUUUCUGAACUUCAUCUUUUGAUAAAUGUAUCCGGAAACAAUUUGCUUCUGUGGAAGUCUUAAAAUGUUGUAGUUUUGGUCUAUGAUCUCGGCCAAGUGACCAUUCUCCUGGACUAGAAAUAUUCUUUAAACUUAUGCUAAAGCUUAAAUAUGAUUCAAUUGUUCUCCUAGUUAAAACAGAAACCAAGCACUUGGCUUCCUUGUUCAGAAUUAUUUAUCCUUUUUUUCCCAAUUGAUUGGAAAUGAACUAGUUUAGCACUUGUACUUUGACAUGUUCACUUCAAGCAACUGUAGUUAAUAAAACAAUUGAGCAUGAACUGGAGUUGCCGAUGGAAUCCUGAAAGUGGAUGACAUAAAUUACUUGGUGCCUUCUUCUGGUACAUGAUACUCCUGAACUGAAUGUCAGCAUGGUAUUCAUGAAUCAAGUUUCAAAACAAUUGAGCUCAUAUAGAUCUUGCAUAACUGGAAAUCAAAGUGAAUCUCAUGUUGUUUUUGAUGGGUUUAGAAUAAAAUCAAUGACAUCACUAUGGCCUUUGUCAAUGACUUGGUUUUAAACUCUGGUUCAAAACAUCCACUGCAAUGGGAAAAUGACCUUAACAUCCAGUGAUGACUUCGUUUUAGACUCUGGUUCAAAACAUCCACUGCUAUGAGAUAAUGGCCAUAACAUCUGAUGGACCUCAUUUUCCCAGACACACGGAGAUGGAUUAGGUAGGGGUGACUCUGAAUCACUUGCAUUGAGUCUACUUCGUACAAAGUCCCUGAGGUCAGUUGAAGGUAGUCUGGUGAUCAGCUUGAUAAUUCCAAAUACUUGACGCGAGGCUAGAUGCUUGAGGGUAAAUCAAGAGGCACAGCAGUUGUAAAUCGUCUCCCCAUAUGGCAAAACCUAUUCUGUCACAAUGAUAAAAAGGUGUUCAAUUAUGGCAGGUAAUGGAGCUUCAGGCAAUAGGAUGUGAGACAGUGAGAGGUCAAGAUAGAGCAACAUACAUUUCUUGCCCAUGGAAUGAUGCCCAUCCAAUAUAUACAGACUGCAAUUUUUAGCAUAUUGAAGAAAGUUGGCCUCUCAUUAAGGCACUAAGAUCACAUUUAGAAAUCUCAAAGAAUUCUGAGAAUGUGUCGAUGCCUUGCAUCAUUCCAUUUAGAAAUCUGAGUUCCAGAAAGGUGUUAAUGCCGAUGUUCCGAAAUUUUGAGACCGUGUUGCAAUCUAUUCUCCUGCCACAGUAACAAGAUUUCUUUACAAUGAACAGUCAUGAUAAUUUCACAUCUGCUAAUGCUAGCAUAAGCCACAUUGAGAAAACAAUUGAUCCUUGGAUUAUUACCAAUCUCUAAGGAAUUGAAAAAGGCCAGAUGGUCAAGCUCCAAAGUUCUUGACGACAUUCCCAGUUCACCAAUCAACGAUAGUAUCAUACGUGAAACAGAAGACACAAAGUCUGGAACAUUCAAAAUCAAAAGCAUCUGUUUUGAUUAUUUAGCAAGAAAAAUAACAUAAUGGAUCUUAUUUGUAUGUAUAUCAAGUUUAACAACACGCCAUUGCAUGACUCCUUAAUUGGCUUCCAAUAUUCAGAUAAUUCAAAGGCACCAUUAUGUUUAAUUCCGAUAUAAAAGACUGUCAAAGAAGGGGGAUAUAAAUUUGUACGAGAGUUAACAAACCUCUGGUUUUUUGUCAGCAAAAUCUCAUUAACUGGAUUCCUGAAAAACGUAGUAAAAAUAAGUAAACGCUCAUUAGAGUUAAAUUCCAAAUCCAAAGUCAAUAGAAGGUUGUUUAUUGUAGAACCAAACACAAUUACUAAACCUUAUAAUGCAAGAACACAAAAUUGUCCAGAAACACAUUUUCCAUCUUAUCAGAUCCAAUUUAUGGCCUUCCUGCAUUACUGCAUUUUAUAUUUGAAAGGUAAAUCAGACAUUUUUUAUGUGAGUAAUAAGAGAGUAAAUGGCAUAAAAGGCAAACCAUACAAAUGAAGAAGUUGUAAACAUAUAAGAGUGCUUACUGAUCACUGUUGAAUGAUAUUUAAUUGUCUCUCUUUCAAUCUGCAAGAGUUUAUACUCAGUGAAUCACAGUAUGCUACCAAGAAUAAUGCCUCAUUUCCUCGUUGUUGGAAAAAAAUGUAGUGAAAAACAUGUAAGUUGCCAAUAGAAAUAUACUAAUUUAAAAAUAAAGCAUUUCAAAAUACAUAAGGUUUGUACAAGUUGUAACUGACCUGAAAAAAAUCUGUAUGAUAAAGCUCAUUUUAAUGAAUCCUAACAAUGGUUAAAAAGACAUCCAAAAGGAGGAAAGCUGGAUCAGCAUUGCGCAUCCACCUAAAAGGAGUAACAUGAAAUGCAUCAAAAUAAAAUGAGAUGAAAAGAAAAUAGUAGUGCUCAUAAAAAUCCUUUCUGCAAAAUAAUGCAUAAAGACGAGCAAUUCAUCAAUGUAAAACAAAUACAAACUGUUCUUUAUAUAGGUCAUAGUUCCAUCAGAGAGCAAUUUCAAACCAUCACAACAACUGAGCACAAGACUUAAUAACAUGGAUGACAAACCGAUCCUCAGAAGGAACAUAAAGAAAUGUGUGAUUCUCGACUCUCCAAGAGAUGUGUGACUAUUCAGUCUUACUGGCAGCUUCUCCAAGAUAGCACAAAAAAUAGCUUCAUGUCUACUGAAGACAGGUGAACUAAGCAGUGUCCAAGGAUCGGUGCCAAAAUCCUCUCUGUAAGCUAGUGCUUAGGGAACACCUCAAGUCAUAAACAUAGAAAAUUUAGAAAAAAAGUUAGCAAAUAUAGGAAUCUAAAAAAACCAAUAAAAAUGGAAAAUAAAAAUUGUAACUUACCAUGAUCUUGCUAAGCUGUUGUUUAUCCUCUUUCUACACUCUUAACAUCAACAAUAGAAACAAAAACAACAAGUGGCAAUAGGAAUUUGCCACAGUCACUAUAGACAUGGAGCCUCCAAAUAUAAAACCCGAAUCCCCUUCAACAAGA
This 20265-nucleotide long non-coding RNA is filed under the name Vitis vinifera (wine grape). RNAcentral describes it as "long non-coding RNA (VVIN_LNC004350)". Lineage: Eukaryota; Viridiplantae; Streptophyta; Magnoliopsida; Vitales; Vitaceae. The record is from RNAcentral.